GCUGCUUCCUCUCCCCAGCCUCACCUUGCAGGAAUCCCAGUGAAUAUAUUGCCACCCUAUUUGAGCUCAGUGCCCUCAUAGUGUAAUGGCACCAGCAGAUCUGCCUGUGCAUGGACUUCCUGUACUACCCAUUCCUGACGGUGAUGCUUCUGCAGGGCCUGUGACCUGGUGCACAACUUUAGACACCAUCAUCCUGGAGCAGCACUGCACCCUCACUAGCCAGGGUGUUCAUGACUUCCUCAAGGCCAAGGCCACGUUCAAGACUUAAGACUUCAGUGAUGCACUUAUGCUGGGCAAGGAUGAAAAUGGGAAGGAGUUGUCAGAUGAGGACAUAUAAAUGGAGGCUGACAUCUUCAUGAGGAUAUGACAGCACAGCCACUGGCCUCUACUGAAUCCUAUGCAACCUCAGAAGACACCCAGGAGUGAUGCCAUCAUGUGGUGCAAGAGUUCUGAGGGACCGCAAUCCUGAAGACAUUGAAUG
Molecule: long non-coding RNA, 481 nt
Filed under: Homo sapiens (human)
Lineage: Eukaryota; Metazoa; Chordata; Mammalia; Primates; Hominidae
Description: non-protein coding lnc-TUBA3C-2:4
Source: RNAcentral